Molecule: ribosomal RNA, 253 nt
Filed under: uncultured bacterium
Lineage: Bacteria
Description: partial 16S ribosomal RNA
Rfam family: Bacterial small subunit ribosomal RNA
Source: RNAcentral
UACGUAGGGCGCAAGCGUUGUCCGGAAUUAUUGGGCGUAAAGAGCUCGUAGGCGGCCUGUUGCGUCCGCUGUGAAAUCCCGGGGCUCAACCCCGGGCCUGCAGUGGAUACGGGCUGGCUAGAGGCAGGCAGGGGAGAACGGAAUUCCUGGUGUAGCGGUGAAAUGCGCAGAUAUCAGGAAGAGCACCUAUGGCGAAGGCAGCUCUCUGGGACGGUACUGACGCUGAGACGCGAAAGCGUGGGGAGCAAACAGG